GUGGGGAAUAUUGGACAAUGGGCGAAAGCCUGAUCCAGCCAUGCCGCGUGUGUGAAGAAGGUCUUCGGAUUGUAAAGCACUUUAAGUUGGGAGGAAGGGCAGUAAGUUAAUACCUUGCUGUUUUGACGUUACCGACAGAAUAAGCACCGGCUAACUUCGUGCCAGCAGCCGCGGUAAUACGAAGGGUGCAAGCGUUAAUCGGAAUUACUGGGCGUAAAGCGCGCGUAGGUGGUUUUGUAAGUGGGAGGUGAAAUCCCCGGGCUCAACCUGGGAACUGCCUCCAAAACUGCAUGACUAGAGUACGGUAGAGGGGGAUGGAAUUUCCUGUGUAGCGGUGAAAUGCGUAGAUAUAGGAAGGAACACCAGUGGCGAAGGCGACUACCUGGACUGAUACUGACACUGAGGUGCGAAAGCGUGGGGAGCAAACAGGAUUAGAAACCCGAGUAGUCC
This 450-nucleotide ribosomal RNA is filed under the name uncultured bacterium. RNAcentral's name for it is "partial 16S ribosomal RNA". It matches the Rfam family "Bacterial small subunit ribosomal RNA", at positions 354 to 796 of the family's 1533-position model. The record is from RNAcentral.